RNAcentral lists this ribosomal RNA (102 nucleotides) under uncultured bacterium. RNAcentral describes it as "partial 16S ribosomal RNA". It matches the Rfam family "Bacterial small subunit ribosomal RNA", at positions 392 to 508 of the family's 1533-position model. The record is from RNAcentral.
CGACGCCGCGUGUGGGAUGACGGCCUUCGGGUUGUAAACCACUUUUGCCGGGGAAGAAGCAAGUGACGGUACCCGGUGAAUAAGCCCCGGCUAACUACGUGC